UCUGUUACUAAGGAAACCACAGCAACUUUGGAAUUUUCCCGUGGGAAUCACGAUCACAAACCGGAAAGAAAUCUAUUAAGAGUUUUAGAAGAAGAAAAAUAUCCACAAGGAAACAUUAUGCCUGCCUCAGAUUUCCUUCCAUCCAAACCCUGACAAGCUUCCUUAAUAUUAUGGAGGCUGACAGUGCCGGAGGACUUGAGGUUGAAUAGAGAGAAAAGGAACAAUCAAGAGAUCAUUGAUAAUGGUUGAAAAUACCUUUGGACCCCAACUCGGGACCUCACACUCAUGAUGCCUUUCCACUGGGGUGUCCUAGAUCAUCAGCCUGGGAGGGAAACAAUAAAAGUAUGGAGAAACAGCUGCAAACUCACUGAAGCUUUUUUCUGGGAGGAAAACACCAUGGGAAGACAGACACACCCAGGGAUAAUGGUAUGUGAUGACAGAGGCAGAGAUUGGCGUGAGGUAGCUGCGAGCCAAGAAGCAUCAAGUAUUGAUGCCCACCACCAGAAGGCAAGCUAUUCCAGACUGAAACCUCAUGGAGAAAGAAGAGAUGAUUAAUGGGACAAGUGAAAAUUUGCUCCUUAUGGCAUCAUCCAACUGUGUAUAUAGCAAGCAUCAUUGUAUUUUAACAUGCUGGGAACACUCGUCUGGAUUGAAUGUUAGUCAAUAAAAAUUCUCUUUUAAAGGA
This is a long non-coding RNA of Equus caballus (horse), 685 nucleotides long. RefSeq lists it as uncharacterized. The record is from RefSeq and is a predicted model, not a curated record. Lineage: Eukaryota; Metazoa; Chordata; Mammalia; Perissodactyla; Equidae.